This 463-nucleotide ribosomal RNA is filed under the name uncultured Allobrachymonas sp. Its description in RNAcentral is "bacterial SSU rRNA". It matches the Rfam family "Bacterial small subunit ribosomal RNA", at positions 917 to 1381 of the family's 1533-position model. Lineage: Bacteria; Pseudomonadati; Pseudomonadota; Betaproteobacteria; Burkholderiales; Comamonadaceae. The record is from RNAcentral.
GACGGGACCGCACAAGCGGUGGAUGAUGUGGUUUAAUUCGAUGCAACGCGAAAACCUUACCCACCUUUGAUAUGGCAGGAAUCCUAAAGAGAUUUUGGAGUGCUCGAAAGAGAACCUGCACACAGGUGCUGCAUGGCCGUCGUCAGCUCGUGUCGUGAGAUGUUGGGUUAAGUCCCGCAACGAGCGCAACCCUUGCCAUUAGUUGCUACGAAAGGGCACUCUAAUGGGACUGCCGGUGACAAACCGGAGGAAGGUGGGGAUGACGUCAAGUCCUCAUGGCCCUUAUAGGUGGGGCUACACACGUCAUACAAUGGCCGGUACAGAGGGUAGCCAACCCGCGAGGGGGAGCCAAUCCCAUAAAGCCAGUCGUAGUCCGGAUCGCAGUCUGCAACUCGACUGCGUGAAGUCGGAAUCGCUAGUAAUCGUGGAUCAGCAUGUCACGGUGAAUACGUUCCCGGGUCUU